This 85-nucleotide microRNA precursor is filed under the name Bombyx mori (domestic silkworm). RNAcentral describes it as "mir-2807 microRNA precursor family". It matches the Rfam family "mir-2807 microRNA precursor family". Lineage: Eukaryota; Metazoa; Arthropoda; Insecta; Lepidoptera; Bombycidae. The record is from Rfam by way of RNAcentral.
UUAACUCAAAUUUGUAUAGAGUUGGAACGACUUCCCUCCGUUUGCCGCUAGGGGUGCUGUACCAACUCCGUACUGAUUUGAGUUA